AUACGGAGGAUCCGAGCGUUAUCCGGAUUUAUUGGGUUUAAAGGGUGCGCAGGCGGCCAUUUAAGUCAGCGGUUAAAUCGUGGGGCUCAACCCCAUUCUGCCGUUGAUACUGGGUGGCUUGAUUGCGGUCGAGGUUGGCGGAAUUCGUUGUGGAGCGGUGAAAUGCAUAGAUAUGACGAAGAACACCGAUUGCGUAGGCAGCUGACCAGACCGCAAAUGACGCUCAUGCACGAAAGUGCGGGGAUCGAACAGGAUUAGAUACCCUGGUAGUCCGCACAGUAAACGAUAAAUACUUGUUUUCGGCGAUAUAAUGUCGGAGGCAAAGCGAAAGCGAUAAGUAUUCCACCUGGGGAGUACGCCGGCAACGGUGAAACUCAAAUGAAUUGGCGGGG
Molecule: ribosomal RNA, 392 nt
Filed under: uncultured bacterium
Lineage: Bacteria
Description: partial 16S ribosomal RNA
Rfam family: Bacterial small subunit ribosomal RNA
Source: RNAcentral